AUGCUCGUGCCCUCCAUCUCCCGCCCCGAGCUCCAUCUCCUCCACCCGCGGCCUGCGCUCCGUCCUUCCCUCCUUGUUGGCACUCAACCCGGCGAGCGUGAACCGUCGCAAACCGCAGCAGAGGGAGACGUGGAGAGGACAUCAGGCCGAGUGAUCUUGCUUCAAAAAAAAAAAUACAGUGAUCUACGUACAAAGUUGGGCCGUAUGGCUUCCGAGCUGCGCCAAGCGAUGGAAGAGCUUAUGCAUCCCUCGCCGCCGCAGCCAACGCAGACAAGCCCUUCGGAGCCGCUGCCGGCUGAGCCAGUGCCCGCGCAAGCCAAGUCUCCCACGGGCCUGGCUACGAUCCGGCGUCGAGCAAGGCGAUCCGAUUUCCCCUCUUGCUGGGCAAUGGCAGCUUCGGCACUAGGUGCCUGGUGA
Molecule: ribosomal RNA, 417 nt
Filed under: Triticum aestivum (bread wheat)
Lineage: Eukaryota; Viridiplantae; Streptophyta; Magnoliopsida; Poales; Poaceae
Description: partial small subunit ribosomal RNA
Source: RNAcentral